GGAUAUGAGGGUGAUCUGGCUGCAACAUCUAUCACCCCAUUAAUUUCCAGGGUUGAUUUGGCUUAUCUGGCUGGACAGGCUGGUAUCCCUUUCCUCCCUCACCAUUCCAUGUGCAGCCCUCCAGAAGCUGCAGGCUUGGUUGACCUCUCCCAAAUAGAGAAGGACUUGACUUUGAUCGAGGGUAUGAGAGUAGCUGCGCUCCCCUUCUAGAACCUCCAAACAAGCUCUCACAGAACCUAAAUGUAAAAAUAUAGCAAAUGAUAUUUGGGGUCUCCAUUU
Molecule: small nuclear RNA, 279 nt
Filed under: Erinaceus europaeus (western European hedgehog)
Lineage: Eukaryota; Metazoa; Chordata; Mammalia; Eulipotyphla; Erinaceidae
Description: 7SK RNA
Rfam family: 7SK RNA
About the family: 7SK was discovered as an abundant small nuclear RNA in the mid-70s but a possible function has only recently been suggested. Two independent studies have found that 7SK RNA binds the CDK9/cyclin T complex (known as elongation factor P-TEFb).
Source: Rfam by way of RNAcentral